UACGUAGGGUGCGAGCGUUAAUCGGAUUUACUGGGCGUAAAGCGUGCGCAGGCGGCCCGUUAAGACAGGUGUGAAAUCCCUGGGCUCAACCUAGGAAUUGCGCUUGUGACUGGCGGGCUCGAGUACGGUAGAGGAUGGCGGAAUUCCUGGUGUAGCAGUGAAAUGCGUAGAGAUCAGGAGGAACACCGAUGGCGAAGGCAGCCCCCUGGGCCUGUACUGACGCUCAUGCACGAAAGCGUGGGGAGCAAACAGG
Molecule: ribosomal RNA, 253 nt
Filed under: uncultured microorganism
Description: partial 16S ribosomal RNA
Rfam family: Bacterial small subunit ribosomal RNA
Source: RNAcentral